UACGUAGGGUGCAAGCGUUAUUCGGAUUUACUGGGCGUAAAGCGUGCGUAGGCGGCUCGCUAAGUCGGUUGUGAAAUCCCUGGGCUUAACCUGGGAACCGCAGUCGAUACUGGCGGACUAGAGUACGGUAGAGGGUGGCGGAACUCCGGGUGUAGCGGUGAAAUGCGUAGAUAUCCGGAAGAACACCGAUGGCGAAGGCAACCACCUGGGCCUGUACUGACGCUGAGGUACGAAAGCGUGGGGAGCAAACAGG
Molecule: ribosomal RNA, 253 nt
Filed under: uncultured bacterium
Lineage: Bacteria
Description: partial 16S ribosomal RNA
Rfam family: Bacterial small subunit ribosomal RNA
Source: RNAcentral